This 519-nucleotide ribosomal RNA is filed under the name Fusarium avenaceum. RNAcentral describes it as "eukaryotic LSU rRNA". The stretch from base 183 to 336 matches the Rfam family "5.8S ribosomal RNA". Lineage: Eukaryota; Fungi; Ascomycota; Sordariomycetes; Hypocreales; Nectriaceae. The record is from RNAcentral.
UCCGUAGGUGAACCUGCGGAGGGAUCAUUACGAGUUCACAACUCCCAAACCCCUGUGAACAUACCUUAAUGUUGCCUCGGCGGAUCAGCCCGCGCCCCGUAAAACGGGACGAAAAAAACCAGAGGACCCAAACUCUAAUGUUUCUUAUUGUAACUUCUGAGUAAAACAAACAAAUAAAUCAAAACUUUCAACAACGGAUCUCUUGGUUCUGGCAUCGAUGAAGAACGCAGCAAAAUGCGAUAAGUAAUGUGAAUUGCAGAAUUCAGUGAAUCAUCGAAUCUUUGAACGCACAUUGCGCCCGCUGGUAUUCCGGCGGGCAUGCCUGUUCGAGCGUCAUUUCAACCCUCAAGCCCCCGGGUUUGGUGUUGGGGAUCGGCUCUGCCUUACGGCGGUGCCGCCCCCGAAAUACAUUGGCGGUCUCACUGCAGCCUCCAUUGCGUAGUAGCUAACACCUCGCGACUAACGCGGCGCGGCCAUGCCGUAAAACCCCAACUUCUGAAUGUGACCUCGGAUCAGGUA